This 27-nucleotide non-coding RNA is filed under the name Rattus norvegicus (Norway rat). The record is from RNAcentral. Lineage: Eukaryota; Metazoa; Chordata; Mammalia; Rodentia; Muridae.
UUAAAGUCCAAUCCUCUGUGCCUUUUU